UACGUAGGGGGCAAGCGUUGUCCGGAAUCACUGGGCGUAAAGCGUGCGUAGGCGGUUUGUUAAGUCUGAAGUGAAAGGCCAUGGCUCAACCAUGGGAAUGCUUUGGAAACUGGCAGACUUGAGUACUGGAGAGGCAAGGGGAAUUCCACGUGUAGCGGUGAAAUGCGUAGAGAUGUGGAGGAAUACCAGUGGCGAAGGCGCCUUGCUGGACAGUGACUGACGCUGAGGCACGAAAGCGUGGGGAGCAAACAGGAUUAGAUACCCUGGUAGUCCACGCCGUAAACGAUGAGUGCUAGGUGUUGGAGGUUCAGACCUUCAGUGCCGAAGGAAACCCAAUAAGCACUCCGCCUGGGGAGUACGGUCGCAAGACUGAA
Molecule: ribosomal RNA, 374 nt
Filed under: uncultured Alicyclobacillus sp.
Lineage: Bacteria; Bacillati; Bacillota; Bacilli; Caryophanales; Alicyclobacillaceae
Description: bacterial SSU rRNA
Rfam family: Bacterial small subunit ribosomal RNA
Source: RNAcentral